GCGGUUGUAGCUCAGUUGGUUAGAGCGCUAGAUUGUGGCUCUAGAGGCCGGUGGUUCAAUUCCUCCCAACCGUACCA
This 77-nucleotide transfer RNA is filed under the name Hyphomicrobiales bacterium. Its description in RNAcentral is "Rhizobiales bacterium tRNA-His". It matches the Rfam family "tRNA". Rfam says of the family: Transfer RNA (tRNA) molecules are approximately 80 nucleotides in length. The record is from RNAcentral. Lineage: Bacteria; Pseudomonadati; Pseudomonadota; Alphaproteobacteria; Hyphomicrobiales. RNAcentral also lists the same sequence under 2 other names.